Spea bombifrons (plains spadefoot toad) is the source of this 891-nucleotide long non-coding RNA. RefSeq lists it as uncharacterized. The record is from RefSeq and is a predicted model, not a curated record. Lineage: Eukaryota; Metazoa; Chordata; Amphibia; Anura; Pelobatidae. The transcript is spliced from 2 exons.
AAUAAAUUCUUGAAAAAGAUUAAGAAAAUGAUCACGCCAAGUAUUAUGGGAUCCGUAAGGAAGUCCUAUGAAGCAUUUCAAGAUUUAAUUGCUAACAAAGAAACUCUUUUUAAGCUGCUGGGUGACCUGUCUGGGAUGAUUAUUGGUGAAGAGCAGGCAUCUGGAUGAAGAGUACAUUUACUCUUUCUUACAUUUCUGGACAGAGCACAAAAACACAGCUGCCGCUGAAUUGGGAAGAAUGGAACGGUGACUCGUAGUCUAUGUCACUGCUGCAGGACAGCCAUGUCCUCCAUAUCAUUGUUUACUUGUUCUUAGUGGUGUUAUUUCUAAUUAUGUGACACUGGGAAAUACUCCGAGCAAAAGCAAUAAACUGCAUGCGUACUGGGAGAUGAUUUGGUUAAGGUUGGAUUCUUCUGUGUGGUCACCAAUCCAUACUUUACAAAAUGUGUGAUUUUAUUUGUCUAGAUUUAUAAAGCCUUAUUAUUUAAUACCAAUUUGUCAUGGUUUAAGGUGAAUUGUUUGAAUAUUUUAAUGUACAAAGUACACUUUAUUAUGGUCUAUGAUCUGCUAUGGUGGCCCUGUAGGGAUCAUCCUAUUGGGCAGUUUCAGAGUCCCUUUACAAUGUAUGGAUUUUAACAUUUAGAAACAUGUAAGUUACUUCCAGGAAUUACAUUUUAUUUAUUUUUCUUUUUUGGAAAAACUAAAUGUGAACCCUGUCAUAUAAGCAAAUUAUCGAGUUGUCUAGGAUAGAGAGAGCCCUUCUAUAUUACAAAUCGUCUGUAGGAUGAGGUGCCAGAGAUUAAGUUCCCUAAGGGAGCUAGAAACACUAGAGGCAGUGAUGGCAAGAUGUGGACGAUUAUGUUAAUAUUUUAAAUAAACAUCUUGUUUACA